Molecule: long non-coding RNA, 587 nt
Organism: Pseudophryne corroboree (corroboree frog)
Lineage: Eukaryota; Metazoa; Chordata; Amphibia; Anura; Myobatrachidae
Exons: 5
Source: RefSeq, a predicted model, not a curated record
CCGCAGGGUUGUGUGCAGCGAUCUCCCCCCUGCCGUGUACACAGAGAGCGAGGCAGUCUGAAGCUGGGCUUUGCUUCCUGGUUGCUGGCCCCUCCCACCACACUGAGUCAGAUGGCAGCGUGUAGCAGCACAUUCCCUCCUCCUGCUCCUCCAUACGAUGUGCCUGUGCAGUGCUGCCUUCCCACAGACCCACAGUGUCCUGGGGCCGGCCCCAGUCCUUAUUGGAAGGAACUACAUAUAGCCAGCUCUAAGAAUGUCAUCGAUCAUCGAUUUUGUUUUGGGAUGCGCGAUGCGCGCGGAUGAAGGACUGACCACUAUUGAAAGAAAUAUCUUGUCCUUUGUGGAUGUGUUAGAGACAAUAAGGAGAUCUCGUAACCCCCAAAACAGAAAAGACAAUCAAAUAAGAACAAGAUGAAACACCACCGCCAGGGAGAUUAGUGUGGGUGUGACCGCGCUGGUGUGGGUGACAACAUCAACUGCUGCCUAAUCCUAGUCAGUGGGGGGUUGCAGUUACACUGAGGUCCAUGGUGAGGUCAGCUGUGAUCACGCGGUAAUCCUCUAGGAGAGGCCGGCAGACUGGAGGAAGU